GGAAGCAGUACAAUCUCUUCCUGGGAAAAUUGGAUCACAGGAUGUUAAUGAUGUGCUUGCUGCUCUAGAUCAUGUCAUUGAAAAGGGACUUGCGGAUCCAUCUAAAAUAUCUGUGGUCGGUGGUUCCCAUGGUGGAUUUUUGACAACUCAUUUGAUUGGCCAGGCACCAGAUAAGUUUGCAGCAGCAGUUGCAAGGAACCCUGUCUGCAACCUCGCUUUGAUGGUCGGUACAUCGGAUAUACCUGAUUGGUGCUACGCAGAGACAUUUGGAGAAAAUGGAAAAACAAAUUUUACAGAGGCUACUUCAUCUGAACACCUUGACGCCUUUUACAGAAAAUCACCAAUUUUACACGUCUCUAAGGUCAGAACUCCUACACUUUUCUUGCUAGGUGCUAAGGACCUCCGUGUACCGAUGUCUACUGGAUUGCAAUAUGCACGUGCGUUGAAGGAGAAAGGAGGAGUGGAAGUUAAAGUGAUCAUGUUCCCUGAGGACACUCAUGCACUUGAUAGACCACAAUCUGAUUUUGAAAGCUUUCUAAACAUUGGAGUGUGGUUUAAGAAGCACUGCAAAUAGACUCAUGUCUUCACCAAAAGUCACAAUCCAACUUGAAGACGGGAGAUUUGGUUUCGUAGUCCAUAUAUGACCCUUUUCACAGCAGAUCAGUAAAAAAUAAACACAGGACAUGAGGUUCGUGGGGUCGUUUUUUCCUAUUUAAAUUGUAAGUGGUCAUAAGAGAUCGUUUCCUUUUUAAAGACUCGACUCUUCCACAAUCAGUCACUAGUCAG
RNAcentral lists this unclassified non-coding RNA (786 nucleotides) under Hevea brasiliensis (rubber tree). Lineage: Eukaryota; Viridiplantae; Streptophyta; Magnoliopsida; Malpighiales; Euphorbiaceae. The record is from RNAcentral.